This 26-nucleotide non-coding RNA is filed under the name Homo sapiens (human). Lineage: Eukaryota; Metazoa; Chordata; Mammalia; Primates; Hominidae. The record is from RNAcentral.
UGGAGCAUACACAAUGAGGAUGAUGA